UUAGAUACCCUGGUAGUCCACGCCGUAAACGAUGAGUGCUAGGUGUUAGGGGUUUCGAUGCCCUUAGUGCCGAAGUUAACACAUUAAGCACUCCGCCUGGGGAGUACGACCGCAAGGUUGAAACUCAAAGGAAUUGACGGGGGCCCGCACAAGCAGUGGAGCAUGUGGUUUAAUUCGAAGCAACGCGAAGAACCUUACCAGGUCUUGACAUCCUUAUGACCUCCCUAGAGAUAGGGAUUUCCCUUCGGGGGCAUAAGUGACAGGUGGUGCAUGGUUGUCGUCAGCUCGUGUCGUGAGAUGUUGGGUUAAGUCCCGCAACGAGCGCAACCCUUGAUCUUAGUUGCCAGCAUUCAGUUGGGCACUCUAAGGUGACUGCCGGUGAUAAACCGGAGGAAGGUGGGGACGACGUCAAAUCAUCAUGCCCCUUAUGACCUGGGCUACACACGUGCUACAAUGGAUGGUACAAAGAGCAGCAAAACCGUGAGGUCGAGCCAAUCUCAUAAAGCCAUUCUCAGUUCGGAUUGUAGGCUGCAACUCGCCUACAUGAAGCCGGAAUUGCUAGUAAUCGCGGAUCAGCAUGCCGCGGUGAAUACGUUCCCGGGCCUUGUACACACCGCCCGUCA
Molecule: ribosomal RNA, 623 nt
Filed under: Bacillus sp. C-138
Lineage: Bacteria; Bacillati; Bacillota; Bacilli; Caryophanales; Bacillaceae
Description: bacterial SSU rRNA
Rfam family: Bacterial small subunit ribosomal RNA
Source: RNAcentral